CUACGCUGAACCAGCAAUUUGGAAGAAUGUAUAGCAAUAGCUGAUUGCACCAACAAACAGUUGAUGCAAAAUUGAUUAUAUCAAAUAAAAUUCUAGGUAGAUUUUUGAUAAUGACAUUGCUUACCUAAGUCUUGACCAAAUUACGUGCCAGCAGUCGCGGUAAUACGUAAAAGACUAGUGUUAUUCAUCUUUAAUUGGUUUAAAGGGUACCUAGACAGCGAAUAAAGCCAUAGUAGGGACUAAUUCGCUAGAGUUACUUAUGAGGGGGUAUUAAAGUACUGCAGGUGUAGAGAUGAAAUUUUGUUAUACCUCUUUUCGUAUGAGAAACUAUGGCACAGGUAUAGGUGAAAGCAUCCCCUUAUGUGAUAACUGACGUUGAGGGACGAAGGCUUUGUGUCGCGAACAGGAUUAGAUACCCCCGUAGUCAAAGCAGAAAAUGAUGAAUGUCAUAGAUUAGAUAUACAAUUUAUUCUAUAAAUGAAAGUGUAAGCAUUCCACCUCAAGAGUAAUUUGGCAACAUUGGAACUGAAAUCAUUAGACCGUUUCUGAAACCAGUAGUGAAGUAUGUUGUUUAAUUUGAUGAUACGCAAAAAACCUUACCACAAUUUGAAUAUUUAUAUAUAUCUUUUAUUGAUUUUUACUUACAUAUAUGUAAAUAAUUAAAAUGAUGCUUAAAUCUCGUUUGUGAGACUGAGCAUGAAAAAAGAUAAUAUAUUUACAAGCGUUGCACGGCUGUCUUCAGUUAAUGUCGUGAGAUUUUGGUUAGUUCCAUUAAAUUAACGUAAACCCUUACUUUAUUUUUAUAUAAAGUAGUUCCCCGCUAUAUAGGAUAUGAUAACAGGGACUAAGACAAGUCAUCAUGGCCUGAAUAUUGUGGGCUAUAGACGUGCCACAUAAACCUUACAAAAGGAUGUG
This 915-nucleotide ribosomal RNA is filed under the name Cladonia polydactyla. RNAcentral describes it as "SSU rRNA". It matches the Rfam family "Bacterial small subunit ribosomal RNA", at positions 339 to 1251 of the family's 1533-position model. The record is from RNAcentral. Lineage: Eukaryota; Fungi; Ascomycota; Lecanoromycetes; Lecanorales; Cladoniaceae.